This 281-nucleotide ribosomal RNA is filed under the name Clostridioides difficile. RNAcentral's name for it is "partial 16S ribosomal RNA". It matches the Rfam family "Bacterial small subunit ribosomal RNA", at positions 1136 to 1416 of the family's 1533-position model. The record is from RNAcentral. Lineage: Bacteria; Bacillati; Bacillota; Clostridia; Peptostreptococcales; Peptostreptococcaceae.
CACUCUAGAGAGACUGCCAGGGAUAACCUGGAGGAAGGUGGGGAUGACGUCAAAUCAUCAUGCCCCUUAUGCUUAGGGCUACACACGUGCUACAAUGGGUAGUACAGAGGGUUGCCAAGCCGUAAGGUGGAGCUAAUCCCUUAAAGCUACGCUCAGUUCGGAUUGUAGGCUGAAACUCGCCUACAUGAAGCUGGAGUUACUAGUAAUCGCAGAUCAGAAUGCUGCGGUGAAUGCGUUCCCGGGUCUUGUACACACCGCCCGUCACACCACGGGAGUUGGAG